AGAGUUUGAUCCUGGCUCAGGACGAACGCUGGCGGCGUGCUUAACACAUGCAAGUCGAGCGGUAAGGCCCUUUCGGGGGUACACGAGCGGCGAACGGGUGAGUAACACGUGGGUGACCUGCCCUCAGCUCUGGGAUAAGCCUGGGAAACCGGGUCUAAUACCGGAUAUGACUCCAUGACGCAUGUUGUGGGGUGGAAAGCCUUGUGCGGCUGGGGGAUGGGCCCGCGGCCUAUCAGCUUGUUGGUGGGGUGAUGCCUACCAAGGCGACGACGGGUAGCCGGCCUGAGAGGGCGACCGGCCACACUGGGACUGAGACACGGCCAGACUCCUACGGGAGGCAGCAGUGGGGAAUCUUGCGCAAUGGGCGAAAGCCUGACGCAGCGACGCCGCGUGAGGGAUGACGGCCUUCGGGUUGUAAACCUCUUUCAGCUCCGACGAAGCGAAAGUGACGGUAGGAGCAGAAGAAGCACCGGCCAACUACGUGCCAGCAGCCGCGGUAAUACGUAGGGUGCAAGCGUUGUCCGGAAUUAUUGGGCGUAAAGAGCUCGUAGGCGGUCUGUCGCGUCGGCUGUGAAAACUUGGGGCUCAACUCCGAGCUUGCAGUCGAUACGGGCAGGCUAGAGUUCGGCAGGGGAGACUGGAAUUCCUGGUGUAGCGGUGAAAUGCGCAGAUAUCAGGAGGAACACCGGUGGCGAAGGCGGGCUCUGGGCCGAUACUGACGCUGAGGAGCGAAAGCGUGGGGAGCGAACAGGAUUAGAUACCCUAGUAGUCC
RNAcentral lists this ribosomal RNA (772 nucleotides) under uncultured bacterium. RNAcentral's name for it is "bacterial SSU rRNA". It matches the Rfam family "Bacterial small subunit ribosomal RNA", at positions 8 to 796 of the family's 1533-position model. The record is from RNAcentral.